RNAcentral lists this unclassified non-coding RNA (214 nucleotides) under Hevea brasiliensis (rubber tree). The record is from RNAcentral. Lineage: Eukaryota; Viridiplantae; Streptophyta; Magnoliopsida; Malpighiales; Euphorbiaceae.
AAAUCAACAGCCUUACAUACAUCUUGAUGGCACAUGCGCAGUGCUCUCUUUGCUUCUCUUUCUUUAAAGCCCAUAUCCAUAACAUGUGACAACGCUUCAUCUGACACUUGUAGCUGUAAAUAUUUUGCUUGCGCUGAGUUGAUUGCUUCCCGAGCCUUAUCAAACUUACAGCUGUGAAAUGCAGCCACCCCCUCAAGCAGCUCCAGCCUCAAAU